UGAACGCUGGCGGCGUGCCUAAUACAUGCAAGUCGAGCGAACGGACGAGAAGCUUGCUUCUCUGAUGUUAGCGGCGGACGGGUGAGUAACACGUGGAUAACCUACCUAUAAGACUGGGAUAAUUUCGGGAAACCGGAGCUAAUACCGGAUAAUAUUUUGAACCGCAUGGUUCAAAAGUGAAAGACGGUCUUGCUGUCACUUAUAGAUGGAUCCGCGCUGCAUUAGCUAGUUGGUAAGGUAACGGCUUACCAAGGCAACGAUGCAUAGCCGACCUGAGAGGGUGAUCGGCCACACUGGAACUGAGACACGGUCCAGACUCCUACGGGAGGCAGCAGUAGGGAAUCUUCCGCAAUGGGCGAAAGCCUGACGGAGCAACGCCGCGUGAGUGAUGAAGGUCUUCGGAUCGUAAAACUCUGUUAUUAGGGAAGAACAUAUGUGUAAGUAACUGUGCACAUCUUGACGGUACCUAAUCAGAAAGCCACGGCUAACUACGUG
RNAcentral lists this ribosomal RNA (495 nucleotides) under uncultured bacterium. Its description in RNAcentral is "partial 16S ribosomal RNA". It matches the Rfam family "Bacterial small subunit ribosomal RNA", at positions 30 to 507 of the family's 1533-position model. The record is from RNAcentral.